AAGGCUGGUGAUUAGGCGGCUGAAGGAACUGCACGGGUACCAGAGGCUCAUCAUGAUCGGAGAUGGGGCCACCGACGCUGAAGCAUGCCCGCCCGCUGACGGCUUCAUUGGUUUCGGAGGCAACGUAGUAAGGGAGGAGGUGAAAAAGAGGGCUUCGUGGUACGUCACUGACUUCCAAGACCUUAUCCAGACCCUCAUGGUGCAAGCCAAGUGAACUGUUCCCCAUAAUGAUAGAACAAAUUGAUCUGUGCAGUUGAAAUGUUAUCGUCGACCGACUGCAACUAGUUUGCAGGUAUAUGCACUUGUUUCUAUUAAAUAGAUAAUACGUAGUUUUCGGGGACAGUUUUAGUGGGUCGAACUGUAUGACCGACGAACUUCUACCACCGACUUAACCCUAUAUGGCAGUGGGAUAAAGUUCCCAGCAUAAUUUGAGGAACUUUUUUCCCUUGUUUUUAGGUUCAAACAAUGAAAAAUUUGGACUUGUUAUGCACAUUAAAGGCUUAACUGAUAAUUGACUGAAAAUAACGUUAUAAGUUUCUACUUUCGAGUACCUGACAAUCUUAGUGUCAUUUAAGCCGUAGUUACAUUAUCUUGGAUCGUUGCAUUAAGUCGGUGGUUCAAGCGAUAUUCAGCUAAUUUGUCGGUCGACCCAGUGAAAACUGGCCUUUUUGAAAAUACACAAGUAUUAUGUUUCUCGUUUACAAUGACAGCUAUUUAUUCUAGUUAGAUCUGUUAAUAGUAAUAGAUUCUUAUGUGUAUAAGGUCUAUGUUUUGUGAUAAAGGUUGGGGAUUCUUCAGGUGUUGGAGAUGGAUCGGACUAGUUACAAGUUUGUCUAGAAAAUUAGCAAAAUUUUUUCCAUAGUUAAAAAUACCCCAAGAAAACGCUGACUAUAUUUUUGUGGAAAUGAAAUAAUACGUAUUUUAGUAUUUUUUUAAAUGAACAGUAACAGAUUAUUAACUCAAAGUUUAAAAGGUUUCGUUAUUUGAAUGAACGAAGUCAAUAUGCGUUGAACUGUUACUAAUCAAACUAUUUAAUAUUAUUGACUUACCAAUAUUUCCGGGGGCACUGUCUGUAUGUUUACAGCUUAUAAAUUUUUAGUGUUCAGCGUAUAAAUAUUUAUUGUUCUAUGUAUUAAAGGUUUCAGUUUAUUUUAAUUACUACAUGUUACUGCCAAUUUCAACGCACAGUAAUUCGACUCGAGUUGUAUUUUAGCAUGUGCAUUUAUGGUUAAAUAAAUUUUAAUAGUUUCUAUAAUGUGAUGGUCGUACUAUGAGUACAAAAUUGUAUAAUAAGUAUUUUUGAGACGAAGUCUCGAGUCGUAACUAUUCGGAAAUCGUAAACAAAGAAUAUUAGUGACUAAAUUUAAUAGUAUACAAUAUUAUUAUGUUUUAUUUAGUUGGUUAAGUAGAUUAAUUAAUUAUAGA
Molecule: long non-coding RNA, 1425 nt
Organism: Ostrinia furnacalis (Asian corn borer)
Lineage: Eukaryota; Metazoa; Arthropoda; Insecta; Lepidoptera; Crambidae
Exons: 2
Source: RefSeq, a predicted model, not a curated record